GUCUAAGUAGCGUAGUGGUUAAUGCACGGCCCCGGUUAGGCGCGAGACGCAAGUUCGAAUCUCGCCUCAGAUG
Molecule: transfer RNA, 73 nt
Filed under: Nippostrongylus brasiliensis
Lineage: Eukaryota; Metazoa; Nematoda; Chromadorea; Rhabditida; Heligmosomidae
Rfam family: tRNA
About the family: Transfer RNA (tRNA) molecules are approximately 80 nucleotides in length. Their secondary structure includes four short double-helical elements and three loops (D, anti-codon, and T loops).
Source: Rfam by way of RNAcentral